Long non-coding RNA from Mustela lutreola (European mink), 643 nucleotides. RefSeq lists it as uncharacterized. The transcript has 2 exons. The record is from RefSeq and is a predicted model, not a curated record. NCBI's taxonomy places the organism in Eukaryota, Metazoa, Chordata, Mammalia, Carnivora, Mustelidae.
GGUUGCUACGGGGUCAGACUCCUCUCUCCUCCCAGAGUGCGGAGAGCCUGGGGCGGCCCCAGGGAAGGGUCCAGAGCCUCUGCAGGCGGUGGGCCGUGUGACCGCUGAAAGAACAGAUGAGCAGAAGAGAGAUGGGGAGAGGGACAGAAGGAGAGGGACAAAAAAUCUCCAGCAGAUUUCCCUGGGGGCAUGGAGCCCUGUGUGGGGCCCAGUCCCACAACGCUGAGAGCACACCCAAGCUGAAACCAAGAGUCCGGCGCUUCACCCGCUGAGCCAUGCCGGUGCCCCCAAAGAAGCUCUUUUGCAGUUACUGGACCUCACUGUGGGCCCAGCUUUGCCUCUGAUUGACUAUGGGCUCUGCAUAGGUGAUUUCAUCCUGCUGUCUACGCUCACUCAUCUGUCUUUUAAAAAGUGUUGGCGCCUGAGAGGCUCAGUCGGUGAAGACUCUGCCUUCGGCUCAGCUCAUGAUCCAGGGUUCCGGGAUCGAGCCCCACGUCAGGCUCCCCACUCAGCGGAGAGCUGCUUCUCCCCUCUCCCUCUGCUGGUCCCCCUGCUUGUGUGCUCGCUCUCUCUCUCCCUCUUUCUCUCUCUGUCAAAGAAAUAAAACCUUCAAAAAAUAAAUAAAAUAAAAUAAAAACAAAAA